GAAUAGUACUGGGUUGGGUGACCUCCCGGGAAGUCCAAACUCAGGAGCUUACAUUUGGUAUCAGAGGGGUCUCGGGUCCGACUCUGUUGGUUGGCUAGGGAAAUCACACCACAUGUUGAUUGACAUCUGGCUGGUCCAGUUUGCUCCCACUGGGCUCGACCCGAGGGGUAGGGUGUCAAGAGAGCGGGGCUCUCGGGAGAGCUGCGGCUCUUAGCUUCCGUUCACGAGGGCGUGAACUUGCAGGGAAGCGUGGUGGAUUGUAAGCAACCAAAGGGAACGACUUGAGAGACGAUCCAUGGGGUUUAAAUAU
Molecule: long non-coding RNA, 310 nt
Filed under: Selaginella moellendorffii
Lineage: Eukaryota; Viridiplantae; Streptophyta; Lycopodiopsida; Selaginellales; Selaginellaceae
Description: long non-coding RNA (SMOE_LNC000266)
Source: RNAcentral